AAUCCAUAGGUUAAUGAGGCGAACCGGGGGAACUGAAACAUCUAAGUACCCCGAGGAAAAGAAAUCAACCGAGAUUCCCCCAGUAGCGGCGAGCGAACGGGGAGGAGCCCAGAGCCUGAAUCAGCAUGUGUGUUAGUGGAAGCGUCUGGAAAGGCGCGCGAUACAGGGUGACAGCCCCGUACACAAAAGCGCAUGUGCUGUGAGCUCGAUGAGUAGGGCGGGACACGUGGUAUCCUGUCUGAAUAUGGGGGGACCAUCCUCCAAGGCUAAAUACUCCUGACUGACCGAUAGUGAACCAGUACCGUGAGGGAAAGGCGAAAAGAACCCCGGCGAGGGGAGUGAAAAAGAACCUGAAACCGUGUACGUACAAGCAGUGGGAGCACCCUUUGGGGUGUGACUGCGUACCUUUUGUAUAAUGGGUCAGCGACUUAUAUUCUGUAGCAAGGUUAACCGUAUAGGGGAGCCGUAGGGAAACCGAGUCUUAACCGGGCGUUAAGUUGCAGGGUAUAGACCCGAAACCCGGUGAUCUAGCCAUGGGCAGGUUGAAG
RNAcentral lists this ribosomal RNA (548 nucleotides) under Salmonella enterica subsp. enterica serovar Newport. RNAcentral describes it as "partial 23S ribosomal RNA". It matches the Rfam family "Bacterial large subunit ribosomal RNA", at positions 161 to 750 of the family's 2925-position model. Lineage: Bacteria; Pseudomonadati; Pseudomonadota; Gammaproteobacteria; Enterobacterales; Enterobacteriaceae. The record is from RNAcentral.